GACGAACGCUGGCGGCGUGCUUAACACAUGCAAGUCGAACGGUAAGGCCCUUCGGGGUACACGAGUGGCGAACGGGUGAGUAACACGUGGGUGAUCUGCCCUGCACUUCGGGAUAAGCCUGGGAAACUGGGUCUAAUACCGGAUAGGACCACUGCCUGCAUGGGUGGUGGUGGAAAGCUUUUGCGGUGUGGGAUGGGCCCGCGGCCUAUCAGCUUGUUGGUGGGGUGAUGGCCUACCAAGGCGACGACGGGUAGCCGGCCUGAGAGGGUGACCGGCCACACUGGAGCUUAGUUACGGCCAAGACUCCUCCGGGAGGCAGCAGUGGGGAAUAUUGCACAAGGGGCGCAAGCCUGAUGCAGCGACGCCGCGUGAGGGAUGACGGCCUUCGGGUUGAAAUCCUCUUUCAGCGCCGACGAGGCGCAAGUGACGGUGGGUGCAGAAGAAGGACCGGCCAACUACGUGCCAGCCGCCGCGGUAA
RNAcentral lists this ribosomal RNA (478 nucleotides) under uncultured bacterium. Its description in RNAcentral is "partial 16S ribosomal RNA". It matches the Rfam family "Bacterial small subunit ribosomal RNA", at positions 28 to 523 of the family's 1533-position model. The record is from RNAcentral.